RNAcentral lists this ribosomal RNA (1431 nucleotides) under metagenome. RNAcentral's name for it is "bacterial SSU rRNA". It matches the Rfam family "Archaeal small subunit ribosomal RNA". The record is from RNAcentral.
GUUGAUCCUGCGGGAGGUUGCUGCUAUUGGAGUCCGAUUAAGCCAUGCAAGCCAAGGGGAUGUUUACAUCACCGGCAGACUGCUCAGUAACACGCCAAUAAUCUAACUUUAGGUUCGGGAUAACCUCGGGAAACUGAGGCUAACACCGAAUAGGAAAAUUCUACUGGAAUGUGUUUUUUCAUAAAAGUAAUGCCUAAAGAUGAGAUGGCGGUCGAUUAGGUUGUUGGUGGGGUAAUGGCCCACCAAGCCGAAGAUCGAUAGAGGCCUUGAGAGAGGGAGCCUCGAGAAGGGCACUUAGACACUGGCCCUAGCCCUACGGGGUGCAGCAGGCGCGAAACCUUUACAAUGCAUGAAAGUGUGAUAGGGGGACUCCAAGUGCUAAUGUUCUACAUUGGCUUUUUUCAAGGCAAAAUACCUUGAAGAAUAAGUGGUGGGCAAGACUUGUGCCAGCCGCCGCGGUAACACCAGCGCCACAAGUGGCAACCAGUAUUAUUGGGCCUAAAGCGUCCGUAGCCGGUCUUGAAAAUCUUUUGUGAAAUCGUUUGGCUCAACCAAACGGCGAGCAGAAGAGACUGCAAGACUUGGAAUCGGGAGGAGUCAGGAGUAUUUCUGGGGGAGCGGUAAAAUGUUAUAAUCCCAGAAGGACUACCGGUGGCGAAGGCGCCUGACUAGAACGAAUUCGACGGUGAGGGACGAAAGCUAGGGGAGCAAUCCGGAUUAGAUACCCGAGUAGUCCUAGCUGUAAACUCUGCGAGCUAGGUGUUGCGUAUUCUUAGUGAAUAUGCAGUGUCGAAGCGAAGGUGAUAAGCUCGCCGCCUGGGGAGUACGGUCGCAAGACUGAAACUUAAAGGAAUCGGCGGGGGAGCACUACAAGGGGUGCGGCGUGCGGUUUAAUCUAAUUCCACACAGAGAAUCUCACCAGAAGCGACGGCAGGAUGAAGGUCAGUCUGAAGGGCUUGCCUAACGAGCCGAGAGGUAGUGCAUGGCCGCCGUCAGCUCGUGCCGUAAGGUGUCCUGUUAAGUCAGGCAACGAGCGAGACCAGCACUUACAAUUGCUAGCAACUCUUUUCAGAGGAUUGAGCACAUUGUGAGAACUGCUCCUGAAAAGGAGGGGAAGGUGCAGGCUACGGUAGGUCUGUAUGCUCCGAAUCUUCUGGGCUACACGCGCGCAACAAUGGUAGGGACAAUGGGCUACGACUCCGAAAGGAGAAGUUAAUCCUCUAAACCCUAUCCAAGUCCAGAUUGAGGAUUGUAACUCAUCCUCAUGGCGAUGGAAUCCCUAGUAAUCAGAGUUUAUCAUACUCCGGUGAAUAUGUCCCUGCUCCUUCCACACACCGCCCGUCAAGCCACCCGAGUAGGGUUUAGAUGAGGAUCAGUUUUUAACUAGUUCGAAUCUAAGCUUUGCGAGGAGGGUUAAGUCGUCACAAGGUA